RNAcentral lists this ribosomal RNA (37 nucleotides) under Fusarium oxysporum. Its description in RNAcentral is "partial 28S ribosomal RNA". The record is from RNAcentral. Lineage: Eukaryota; Fungi; Ascomycota; Sordariomycetes; Hypocreales; Nectriaceae.
UGACCUCGGAUCAUGUAGGAAUUCCCGCUGAACUUAA